Long non-coding RNA from Malania oleifera, 560 nucleotides. RefSeq lists it as uncharacterized. Lineage: Eukaryota; Viridiplantae; Streptophyta; Magnoliopsida; Santalales; Ximeniaceae. The transcript is spliced from 2 exons. The record is from RefSeq and is a predicted model, not a curated record.
GUGAUAGUGGGCAUUUUCGUCCUCUCGUUUUAUUCUCUCACCGUUCUUCUUCCGCUUACCGAGCACCGAAGGCGAAGCGCCCUGUAGAGGAACGACGAAGUCGCAGUUGGCGGAGGAUGAAAACAAGGCUUCCUGCAAGUUUCAUUGCGGAGAUAUUGAGGCAUGCACCUGCUCACUUUCUAAGGCUUUUUGAGGAUAUAAAUUCAAGUGUCUGAUUAUAUGGGUGAUAAUUUGCAACAAUUGUGUUGCCAUUUUUCUAUCCUUUAUUGAUUGAUUCUUGUCUUUUAAUUUCAGCUCAGACUAGUCUUGACUACCAUAAACUUUCAUUGUAUUUAAUUCACAUUUACAAGCUUGCUAACACUUGUACAUUCAUGCAUCUGUGUGUACAUAUACAAAUAUGUUGCCAGCACAUAUGCAUACUUGUUGGUAUCUGUACAUACAUAUGUUCACGAUACAUCCAUAUGCAAGUUUCAUGUACAUGCAUAUAAGUGAAUGAUUUCUUGAAAGAAUUAUUUUCUCUCCAUCAGUUGAAAGUGAUGUCAAGUUUUAUUUCUUCAAAA